Leucoraja erinaceus (little skate) is the source of this 2690-nucleotide long non-coding RNA. RefSeq lists it as uncharacterized. The record is from RefSeq and is a predicted model, not a curated record. NCBI's taxonomy places the organism in Eukaryota, Metazoa, Chordata, Chondrichthyes, Rajiformes, Rajidae. The transcript is spliced from 2 exons.
AACCUACAAACCUGUACAUCUUCUGUCACCUUCUCCACUAUUCACUCUCCCAUCUAGCUCCAUCUUCCCAUCAACUCCUUAACGUGCAAGCCCUACUUCACUGGCCAUCUCUUUUCAUUAUUUUCUAUAUCUCUAGUAUGUUAUAAAUGAUACAAUUUAUUUGCACCUCAGACAUUAAUUUUCUUGGUCUUCAGCAUCAUAUUUAUGUGUGAAAGCGUUUUAAAUAGAUUGAGGAAGCGGAUAAAAAUAAAUACAGGCGACAAGUUUCUAUGUUUGAGUAUUACAUAACGAAUGUUAGAAAGAGGAGCGAAAAAUAAUCUGCUGGAGGAACUCGGUGGCUCGUGGAGGCAAGGGGAUGGUCUGUUUAGUUUAAAGAUACAACGUGGAAACAGGCCCUUCGGCCCACCGGGUACGUGUCGAGCAGCAUUCCCUGCAUAUUAACACCAUCCUACACUCACUAGGGACAUUUUUUACCUUUAGCAAGCCAAUUAACCUAUAAACCUGUACGUCUUAGGAGUGUGAGAGGAAACUGAAGAUCUCGCCGAAAACCCACACAGGUCACGGGGAGAAUGUACAAACUCCGUACAGACAAGCACCCGUAGUCGGGAUCAACCCUGGGUCUCAGGUGCUGCAAGGCAGCAACUCUAUCACUGCGCCACCCUAUUUACACUUUACAUAAGUAUCUCCCCUGACCAAGGCAAUCAAAAUAAGGUAUUUUCACAGCACAAACUUCCCAAAUGCUUUGAUACAAUUUGAUGCUUCAUCACCUUAAGAAAUAUUAUGGAAGCUAAAAGAUUACACCAGAUAAUCACAAAAAGAGGCUUAAACUGCCCAAGGCAUUUAACAACGGUGGAGCAAUAAGGCCAGAUUUGAAAGGAUGGCAAAUAUUUUAAACGAUUAGAAGACAUAAAUUAGAAAUAAUGAGAUUAGGUCAGGAAGAAAUUUGAACUAGAGGUCCAAUUUUGGAAAUCUAGUCACUGCAGUGAGAUAAAGAGCGAUUGGUGCAGAGAACUUGUACAAAGAACUUAUACACUGAGUUUUGAAUGAGGUCAAGUUAAGAGAGAUGAAAAGGAGGGAACCCAGCUGGUAGGACAUCAUGUUUAAGAAGGAAAUGCAGAUGCUGGAAAAUCAAAGGUAGACAAAAAUGCUGGAGAAACUCAGCAGGUGAGGCAGCAUCUAUGGAGCGAAGGAAAUAGGCAACGUUUCGGGUCGAACCCUUCUUCAGAACAUCACGAUGGGGUUUGGAGAUCAGGAUACCAUUUAUUUUUACGAGUAGAGGAUCAGACGUAGAUUCAGUGAAAGAAAGUAAGUUUGAGCAAAACACAAAGUGCUGGGAAAAUUCAACGGGUCGGGCAACAUCUGUGGAGGGAAUGGGCAGGCGACGAUUUGGGUCAGGACCCUUCUUCAGCUCCUUCCAUAGACGAUGCCAGACCCCUCGCGUUCCUCUACCAGUUUGUAUUUUGCUCAGAAAUUUAGCAUUUGCCAUCACUUGUGUCUCCAAGGAAACAACUACUGGUUGAUUGUGUCAAGAGGCAGGGCAUGGAUGAAAAAUGGGAAGUAACAAGAGAGAAAUCAUUAAGGGAUGGAAAAAUUAAUACAGUUGUUGUGUAGGAGUUUAAACUGAUAUGUAACUGAAAAUGUGUAGGAAGGAACUGCAGAUGCGGGUUUACAUUGAAGAUAGACACAAAAUGCUGGAGUAACUCAAAGCGUCUGGCAGCAUCUCUGGAGAAAAGGAAUAGGCAACUUUUCAAGUCGAGAUCCUUCCGUCAGUUUAGUUUAUUGACACGUGUACCAAGGUACAGUGAAAAGCUUUUGUUGCGUGUGGUGCUGGCUCGAAGGGCCAAAUGGCCUCCUCCUGCAACUAUUUUCUAUGUUUCUAACCAGUCAGCGGAAAGACAAUGUUUACAAUCGAGUAAUUCACAAUGUACAGAUACACAAUAAAAGGAAUAACAUUUAGUGCAAGAUAAAGCCAAUAAAGUCCACAGGUCAUUCAAUGAGGUAAAUGUUGGUUCUGGAGUGCUCUCUGAUUUUGUGUCUAUCUUCGAAUAAAGAGAAAACCUAGCAAAAAGCCAGUUUGGCCAACAAUGUCAAGAGUGAAAUACGAAGAUUGAUGAGGGAUAAACCAGUUUGGCGACUGCUGCAAAGGGUGCAAUUUGCGACUUAAACAACGGCUAUUUCUGUGUCACGGCACAGCUGGUGGAAUGGAAGUCGUUCGAAGGAGCUGCAGAUAAUGUGGGCCUUGAAUCAGGAAUUGACAACAUCUACGAAGGCUUGAGAGCAGCAAGACGGAAGGAGGAUGGCACUGACGACAAAUUUGAAAGAAGGCUGCAUGACUUCUGGGCUCAUUAACUAACACAGAAGGCAGAUUCUCUGGAGAGAAGGAAUGGGUAACAUUUCAGAUUAAGACCCUUCUUCGACCCGAAACUUCACCCAUUCCUUCUCUCCAGACAUGCUGCCUGCCCCGCUGAAUUACUCCAGCUUUUUGUGUCUAUCUACGUUUUAAACCAGCAUCUUUAGUUCCUUCCUGCACAGAGAUUUGCAGCAAAAGGUGGAAGGGGGGGAGCGGCGGCGCUUACCCGGAGGGCGGAGAGGUCGAUGUCGUCCAGGCUGCGGGCCGGCGGCUCGCUCGCCAUCUUCUCUCAGCCGCAAUCACGGCGUCGCCUCAGGUGGAGAAUUAAAAGUUCAAGUAU